This 201-nucleotide long non-coding RNA is filed under the name Erythranthe guttata (spotted monkey flower). Its description in RNAcentral is "long non-coding RNA (EGUT_LNC002641)". Lineage: Eukaryota; Viridiplantae; Streptophyta; Magnoliopsida; Lamiales; Phrymaceae. The record is from RNAcentral.
AAGUCUUGCCCAAUUCACUGUCAUUUUCGCCCACAGGUUUAACAAUUCUUCACAUUUGGCCAAGGUGGAUUCUUCGGAACUUUUGAAGGACAUAGAUGCAAGUUCAAAGGAGUAUUAUUGGGAGGAGGAUCUUUCCCGUUCGGUUUAGGUAGCUCUUCGGUGCAACUAUCUUAGUUAUGGUUUAAUCCUUUUAUAAUCUCU